GCGGAUGUGGCGGAACCGGCAGACGCGAUAGACUUAGGAUCUAUUUCGAAAGAGUGGGAGUUCAAAUCUCUUCAUCCGCACCA
RNAcentral lists this transfer RNA (83 nucleotides) under Clostridiales bacterium. RNAcentral's name for it is "tRNA-Leu". It matches the Rfam family "tRNA". Rfam says of the family: Transfer RNA (tRNA) molecules are approximately 80 nucleotides in length. The record is from RNAcentral. Lineage: Bacteria; Bacillati; Bacillota; Clostridia; Eubacteriales.